This 406-nucleotide ribosomal RNA is filed under the name uncultured bacterium. Its description in RNAcentral is "partial 16S ribosomal RNA". It matches the Rfam family "Bacterial small subunit ribosomal RNA", at positions 29 to 526 of the family's 1533-position model. The record is from RNAcentral.
AUUGAACGCUGGCGGCAGGCCUAACACAUGCAAGUCGAGCGAGCGGCGGACGGGUGAGUAAUGUCGGGGAAACUGCCUGAUGGAGGGGGAUAACUACUGGAAACGGUAGCUAAUACCGCAUACCAUCAGAUGUGCCCAGAUGGGUUUGGCUAGUAGGUGGGGUAACGGCUCACCUAGGCGACGAUCCCUAGCUGGUAUGGGAGGAUGACCAGCCACACUGGAACUGAUGCACGGUCCAGGUUACUACGGGAGGCAGCAGUGGGGAAUAUUGCACAGAGGACGCGAGCCUGAUGCAGCCAUGCCGCGUGUGUGAAGAAGGCCUUCGGGUUGUAGAGCACUUUCAGCGGGGAGGCGUUACCCGCAGAAGAAGCACCGGGUAACUCCGUGCCAGCAGCCGCGGUAAUUC